UACGUAGGGCGCAAGCGUUGUCCGGAAUUAUUGGGCGUAAAGAGCUCGUAGGCGGUCUGUCGCGUCCGUUGUGAAAACUCGAGGCUCAACCUCGGGCUUGCAGUGGAUACGGGCAGACUAGAGUGCGGUAGGGGAGACUGGAAUUCCUGGUGUAGCGGUGGAAUGCGCAGAUAUCAGGAGGACACCAAUAGCGAAGGCAGCUCGCUGGGACGUUACUGACACUAAGGCGCGAAAGCGUGGGGAGCGAACAGG
RNAcentral lists this ribosomal RNA (252 nucleotides) under uncultured bacterium. RNAcentral describes it as "partial 16S ribosomal RNA". It matches the Rfam family "Bacterial small subunit ribosomal RNA", at positions 524 to 776 of the family's 1533-position model. The record is from RNAcentral.